CGACGGGUGAGUAACGCUGGGGAACCUGCCCUNUACCGGGGGACAACAGCCAGAAAUGGCUGCUAAUACCGCAUAACCCUGCGGUGCCGCAUGGCACUGCAGGAAAAACUCCGGUGGUACAGGAUGGCCCCGCGUCUGAUUAGCUUGUUGGCGGGGUAACGGCCCACCAAGGCAGCGAUCAGUAGCCGGCUUGAGAGAGCGGACGGCCACAUUGGGACUGAGACACGGCCCAGACUCCUACGGGAGGCAGCAG
This 253-nucleotide ribosomal RNA is filed under the name uncultured bacterium. Its description in RNAcentral is "partial 16S ribosomal RNA". It matches the Rfam family "Bacterial small subunit ribosomal RNA", at positions 100 to 354 of the family's 1533-position model. The record is from RNAcentral.